RNAcentral lists this ribosomal RNA (549 nucleotides) under uncultured bacterium. RNAcentral's name for it is "bacterial SSU rRNA". It matches the Rfam family "Bacterial small subunit ribosomal RNA", at positions 355 to 895 of the family's 1533-position model. The record is from RNAcentral.
UAGGGAAUCUUCGGCAAUGGGGGCAACCCUGACCGAGCAACGCCGCGUGAGUGAAGAAGGUUUUCGGAUCGUAAAGCUCUGUUGUAAGUCAAGAACGAGUGUGAGAGUGGAAAGUUCACACUGUGACGGUAGCUUACCAGAAAGGGACGGCUAACUACGUGCCAGCAGCCGCGGUAAUACGUAGGUCCCGAGCGUUGUCCGGAUUUAUUGGGCGUAAAGCGAGCGCAGGCGGUUUGAUAAGUCUGAAGUUAAAGGCUGUGGCCCAACCAUAGUUCGCUUUGGAAACUGUCAAACUUGAGUGCAGAAGGGGAGAGUGGAAUUCCAUGUGUAGCGGUGAAAUGCGUAGAUAUAUGGAGGAACACCGGUGGCGAAAGCGGCUCUCUGGUCUGUAACUGACGCUGAGGCUCGAAAGCGUGGGGAGCGAACAGGACUAGAUACCCUGGUAGUCCACGCCGUAAACGAUGAGUGCUAGGUGUUGGAUCCUUUCCGGGAUUCAGUGCCGCAGCUAACGCAUUAAGCACUCCGCCUGGGGAGUACGACCGCAAGGUU